RNAcentral lists this ribosomal RNA (492 nucleotides) under uncultured bacterium. Its description in RNAcentral is "partial 16S ribosomal RNA". It matches the Rfam family "Bacterial small subunit ribosomal RNA", at positions 29 to 507 of the family's 1533-position model. The record is from RNAcentral.
AGUGAACGCUGGCGGUAGGCCUAACACAUGCAAGUCGAACGGCAGCACAGUAAGAGCUUGCUCUUACGGGUGGCGAGUGGCGGACGGGUGAGGAAUACAUCGGAAUCUACUUUUUCGUGGGGGAUAACGUAGGGAAACUUACGCUAAUACCGCAUAUGACCUACGGGUGAAAGCAGGGGAUCUUCGGACCUUGCGCGAUUGAAUGAGCCGAUGUCGGACUAGCUAGUUGGCGGGGUAAAGGCCCACCAAGGCGACGAUCCGUAGCUGGUCUGAGAGGAUGAUCGGCCACACUGGAACUGAGACACGGUCCAGACUCCUACGGGAGGCAGCAGUGGGGAAUAUUAGGCAAUGGGGGCAAGCCUGAUCCAGCCAUACCGCGUGGGUGAAGAAGGCCUUCGGGUUGUAAAGCCCUUUUUUUGGGAAAGAAAAGCAGCAGGUUGAUACCCCGCUGUUCUGACGGUACCCAAAGAAUAAGCACCGGCUAACUUCGUG